UACACUCCUACGGGAGGCAGCAGUGGGGAAUUUUGGACAAUGGGCGAAAGCCUGAUCCAGCAAUGCCGCGUGAGUGAAGAAGGCCUUCGGGUUGUAAAGCUCUUUUGUCAGGGAAGAAACGGUGAAAGCUAAUAUCUUUUGCUAAUGACGGUACCUGAAGAAUAAGCACCGGCUAACUACGUGCCAGCAGCCGCGGUAAUACGUAGGGUGCAAGCGUUAAUCGGAAUUACUGGGCGUAAAGCGUGCGCAGGCGGUUUUGUAAGUCUGAUGUGAAAUCCCCGGGCUCAACCUGGGAAUUGCAUUGGAGACUGCAAGGCUAGAAUCUGGCAGAGGGGGGUAGAAUUCCACGUGUAGCAGUGAAAUGCGUAGAUAUGUGGAGGAACACCGAUGGCGAAGGCAGCCCCCUGGGUCAAGAUUGACGCUCAUGCACGAAAGCGUGGGGAGCAAACAGGAUUAGAAACCCCAGUAGUCCCAUGA
This 477-nucleotide ribosomal RNA is filed under the name uncultured organism. RNAcentral describes it as "partial 16S ribosomal RNA". It matches the Rfam family "Bacterial small subunit ribosomal RNA", at positions 332 to 800 of the family's 1533-position model. The record is from RNAcentral.